GACGAACGCUGGCGGCGUGCUUAACACAUGCAAGUCGAACGGAAAGGCCCUGCUUUUGUGGGGUGCUCGAGUGGCGAACGGGUGAGUAACACGUGAGUAACCUGCCCUUGACUUUGGGAUAACUUCAGGAAACUGGGGCUAAUACCGGCUAGGAGUUCCUGCUGCUUGGUGGGGGCUGGAAAGUUUCGGCGGUUGGGGAUGGACUCGCGGCCUAUCAGCUUGUUGGUGGGGUAGUGGCUUACCAAGGCUUUGACAGGUAGCCGGCCUGGGAGGGUGACCGGCCACAUUGGAACUGAGAUACGGCCCAGACUCCAACGGGAGGCAGCAGAGGGGAAUAUUGCACAAUGGGCGGAAGCCUGAUGCAGCAACGCCGCGUGCGGGAUGACGGCCUUCGGGUUGUAAACCGCUGUCGCCUGUGACGAAGCGUGAGUGACGGUAAUGGGUAAAGAAGCACCGGCUAACUACGUG
Molecule: ribosomal RNA, 468 nt
Filed under: uncultured bacterium
Lineage: Bacteria
Description: partial 16S ribosomal RNA
Rfam family: Bacterial small subunit ribosomal RNA
Source: RNAcentral